AGCAGUGGGGAAUAUUGCACAAUGGGCGCAAGCCUGAUGCAGCCAUGCCGCGUGUAUGUAAGUAAGGCCUUCGGGUUGUAAAGUACUUUCAGCAGUGAGGAAGGUGGAUAUGUUAAUAGCAUAUUCAUUUGACGUUAGCUGCAGAAGAAGCACCGGCUAACUCCGUGCCAGCAGCCGCGGUAAUACGGAGGGUGCGAGCGUUAAUCGGAAUUACUGGGCGUAAAGCGCAUGCAGGUGGUUUGUUAAGUCAGAUGUGAAAGCCCCGGGGCUCAACCUCGGAAUUGCAUUUGAAACUGGCAAACUAGAGUACUGUAGAGGGGGUAGAAUUUCAGGUGUAGCGGUGAAAUGCGUAGAGAUCUGAAGGAAUACCGGUGGCGAAGGCGGCCCCCUGGACAGAUACUGACACUCAGAUGCGAAAGCGUGGGGAGCAAACAGGAUUAGAUACCCUGGUAG
Molecule: ribosomal RNA, 453 nt
Filed under: uncultured bacterium
Lineage: Bacteria
Description: bacterial SSU rRNA
Rfam family: Bacterial small subunit ribosomal RNA
Source: RNAcentral